Molecule: long non-coding RNA, 494 nt
Organism: Limanda limanda (common dab)
Lineage: Eukaryota; Metazoa; Chordata; Actinopteri; Pleuronectiformes; Pleuronectidae
Exons: 4
Source: RefSeq, a predicted model, not a curated record
CGGUGUGGACGAGUCGAGGUGGAGAAGACGGGCGCACAGUCCCUGAGUUAAGCCUCAGCCCCCCCACACACACACAAACAAAGAGGCGUUAGGCUGAGACGCUGAAAGUCCGGAUUUAAAGUGCGAAAAUUAAGCCAUUGAAUCUGCCUGUCCAUGACGUAGUAAGACACACUAUGAGCCAGUUUGAUCCAACAAGACCUUGCAUCAGCAUUGAGGAGUUCAGGAGUUGUCGGAGAAGAAAGAGGCUGAUUGAAGCGGGACAGAUGACAUGGAUCCAUCCUUCCACAGCCAGGAGCGCACCGACCUGUGUGUCACACUUCAUAUAAGACUGGAAGCUUCACUGGAUCUCACAGCUACACACCACAGACGUCUACACAUUGGAGAAGAUUCAGACAGAGUCCCACAAAGAAGUCAUGACCCAGAGGCUGCAGAGAAACAUUUCAAGCCUCACCUGAGUUUUUGUACAAUAUUUGUGCUGUAUGUAAAUAAAGCUU